AGUGAACGCUGGCGGUAGGCCUAACACAUGCAAGUCGAACGGCAGCACAGUAAGAGCUUGCUCUUACGGGUGGCGAGUGGCGGACGGGUGAGGAAUACAUCGGAAUCUACUUUUUCGUGGGGGAUAACGUAGGGAAACUUACGCUAAUACCGCAUACGACCUACGGGUGAAAUCAGGGGAUCUUCGGACCUUUCGCGAUUGAAUGAGCCGAUGUCGGAUUAGCUAGUUGGCUUGGUAAAGGCCCACCAAGGCGACGAUCCGUAGCUGGUCUGAGAGGAUGAUCAGCCACACUGGAACUGAGACACGGUCCAGACUCCUACGGGAGGCAGCAGUGGGGAAUAUUGGACAAUGGGCGCAAGCCUGAUCCAGCAAUACCGCGUGGGUGAAGAAGGCCUUCGGGUUGUAAAGCCCUUUUGUUGGGAAAGAAAAGCAGCAGGUUAAUACCCCGCUGUUCUGACGGUACCCAAAGAAUAAGCACCGGCUAACUUCGUG
Molecule: ribosomal RNA, 492 nt
Filed under: uncultured bacterium
Lineage: Bacteria
Description: partial 16S ribosomal RNA
Rfam family: Bacterial small subunit ribosomal RNA
Source: RNAcentral